AGGAUGAACGCUAGCGGCAGGCUUAAUACAUGCAAGUCGUGGGGCAGCAGGUGUAGCAAUACAUGCUGGCGACCGGCAAACGGGUGCGGAACACGUACGCAACCUUCCUUUAACUGGAGAAUAGCCCCUCGAAAGAGGGAUUAAUACUCCGUAACAUCCCGACACAGCAUUGUGAUGGGAUUAUAGCUCCGGCGGUUAAAGAUGGGCGUGCGCCUGAUUAGGUAGUUGGCGGGGUAACGGCCCACCAAGCCUGCGAUCAGUAACUGGUGUGAGAGCACGACCAGUCACACGGGCACUGAGACACGGGCCCGACUCCUACGGGAGGCAGCAGUGAGGAAUUUUCCGCAAUGGGCGAAAGCCUGACGGAGCGACGCCGCGUGCACGAGGAAGGUCUUCGGAUCGUAAAGUGCUGGUCGAGGGGGACGAGUUAUGACGGUACCCCUGGACGGAAGCCCGGCUAACUACGUGCCAGCAGCCGC
RNAcentral lists this ribosomal RNA (479 nucleotides) under uncultured bacterium. RNAcentral's name for it is "SSU rRNA". It matches the Rfam family "Bacterial small subunit ribosomal RNA", at positions 26 to 518 of the family's 1533-position model. The record is from RNAcentral.